UCUGGCUCUCGUCUCACAAUAAGCCAAGACCGGCGUCAGCGUCCCUGUGAGUACAUAGUUUCAAAACCCACUUUGCACGUCUGCUUGGUGGAAUUUGCUCCGUGUGGUACCGCAGUGUUCAAAGCAGCGACAGUGUGCUCCUCCUGUGUUCCGCGAGAUUAACAAAAAAAACAAGUGAACUGCACGUCAAUCUCCACGCACGGACGGACGGACGGACGGACGUCCCAGCUUGCCAAUUCCACCGUGACCAAGUUGGCUCCGCGCGGAUGGCAUCGCGAUACCGGCUCCAAGAUGGCAUUUACAGUCGUCAACGCCACUGAGGAGUCGCUCGGCGAGGUGGAUGUACGUAUGUUUGAGAAUAGCAGUCGCCACGAGCUCGUCCCGUCCGUUGUCUGCUUCGUCUGCCUUUCGUUCGGCCUCAUCUACUGCUUCCUGGGGUACCGCUGUUUCAAGAUGGUCAUCUUCUCUUCUGGCUUCCUGUUCGGAUCAACAUCCGUCCUGUGGCUGUACCACAAUGAGCCCCCGCCGCAAGUCCACCCGGGGGCCGAGACCAAAGCCGGGAUCGGCCUCGGCGCCGGGGCGCUCUGCGGCCUGGCGAGCGUGCUGGUGUCCACGUUGGGUCUCCUCCUCUGCGGCCUCCAGCUGGGCUGCCUGCUCUCCUGCGGCACCCUCGUGAUUAUUGGACAGUUUUACAGCGUGGCGCCCGUGUGGGUGCCCCUCAGCGUCAUCAUGGCUGCCGGCAUUGCCACGGCUGUGCUCACGCUGCAGUGGCAGAAACUGUUUGUCAUCAUAUACACAUCUUUUUUUGGUGCCACCACUGUGAUGCUGUGCGUGGAUUACUUGGUGGGCGCCUUUAUGCUGCUCGAUCAGGUUUAUGAUAUGUUUUGUCAAGCAUCCCCACUUCCACUCUGCUGGUUCAACUGGGUCAUAACUGGGAUUUGCCCUCUUUUCGGCCUGACAGGCGUGUUGACACAGUGGAAGUUGACUCAUACAGAGGCUCCGCAUAAAAAUCGGAAGAAACGUGCCAAGAAGCAUAAAUACGCAGAAUUCAGAAGAAGGCAACAGUACCGUCGGCGUGGGCCUCCGCCUCUAAAACGCUACGCUGGGGACGUCCUUGCACCGGUCCGUUUACAAGCAAAGUAACACUUGAUGAGAAAGAUUUGAACUUUCUGUGGAAAUAAACUACUCCCGAAAACAACUACUGGAUAUUCAGCUUGGAAGGGAAAUUUCUGGAUGAAUUUCAAAUACACUAUAACCUUUACAGGUGAACCUAAUUUGACCUUCUCGAAACUUUGGAAUGCACAGAUACGAUUGUUCAGUCUUUUCGUACUUCCGUGAAAAGGAGCGCAAUGGCAAACUUCACCACAGGUGUUUGAGCCAUGACUCGACCAAUACAUUUCCUGGUGCGAAUUGCUAUUUAACGUAAUGCAGGCCUAUGGGAGGCACAAGCCAAUGCAAACUGUAGGCCGGUCCCAAUCCCGGAUAAAUGCAGAGCGUUGCGUCAGGAAGGGCAUCCGGCUUCAAACCUUGCCAAACAAAUAUGAGCGUUCAUCCGAAGAAUUCCAUACCGGAUCGGUCGUGGCCCGGGUUAACAACGUCCGCAAAUUCAGCUACUGUGGGUCGAAGUCGAAGAGAUGGAAAGCGGGUUCUUCGGCAGAAAUAGAAGAGGAAAGCAUAGAGGCUAGAACUGAAUGUGGGGACUUUGAAUGUUGGGACUAUGACAGGAAAAUCUCGGGAGUUGGUUGGCAUGAUGAUUAGGAGAAAGGUUGAUAUAUUGUGUGUCCAGGAGACCAGGUGGAAAGGCAGUCAGGCUAGAAGUUUAGGGGCAGGGUUGAAAUUAUUUUGCCAUGGUGUAGAUGGGAAGAGAAAUGGAGUCGGGAUUAUUUUAAAAGAAGAGUUGGCUACGAAUGUCUUGGAAGUGAAAAGAGUAUCAGAUCGAGUGAUGAGGCUGAAACUUGAAAUUGUGUGAUUAGUGGCUAUGCCCCACAGGUAGGAUGUGACCUAGAGGUGAAAGAGAAAUUCUGGAAGGAGCUAGACGAUGUAGUUCUGAGCAUCCCAGACAGAGAGAGAGUCGUAAUUGGUGCAGAUUGUAAUGGACAUGUUGGUGAAGGAAAUAGGGGUGAUGAAGAAGUGAUGGGUAAGUACGGCAUCCAGGAAAGGAACUUGGAGGGACAGAUGGUGGUAGACUUUGCAACAAGGAUGCAAAUGGCUGUAGUGAACACUUUUUUCCAGAAGAGGCACGAACAUAGGGUGACCUACAAGAGCGGAGGUAGAAGCACACAGGUGGAUUACAUCUUGUGCAGACGAUGUCAUCUGAAGGAGGUUACCAACUGUAAGGUUGUGGUAGGGGAGAGUGUGGCUAGACAGCAUAGGAUGGUGGUGUGUAAGAUGACUCUGGUGGUGGGGAGGAAGAUUAGGAAGACAAAGGCAGAGAAGAGAACCAUGUGGUGGAAGCUGAGACAGGACGACUGUUGUGCAGCUUUUCGGGAAGAGGUGAGACAGGCUCUCGGUGGACGGCUAGAGCUUCCAGAAGACUGGACCACUGCAGCCAAGGUGAUCAGAGAGGCAGGCAGGAGAGUACUUGGUGUAUCUUCUGGCAGCAAAGGAGAGGAGGAGACUUGGUGGUGGAACCUCACAGUACAGGAAAUCAUACAAGGAAAACGGUUAGCUAAGAAGAAGUGGGACACCGAGAGGACCGAGGAGAGGCGAAAGGAAUACAUUGUGGUUUCAUGCCGAGAAAGAGUACCACAGAUGCAUUAUUUGUCUUGAGGAUGUUGAUGGAAAAGGUCAGAAGGAGCUACAUUGUGUCUUUGUAGAUCUAGAGAAAGUACCCAGAGAGGAACUGUGGUACUGCAUGAGGAAGUCUGGAGUGGCAGAGAAGUAUGUUAGAAUAAUACAGGACAUGUACGAGGGCAGCAGAACAGCGGUGAGGUGUGCUGUCGGUGUGACAGAAGAAUUUAAGGUGGACGUGGGACUGCAUCAGGGAUCAGCCCUGAGCCCCUUCCUGUUUGCAGUGGUGAUGGAUAGGCUGACAGAUGAGGUGAGACUGGAAUCCCUGUGGACCAUGAUGUUUGCAGAUGACAUUGUGAUCUGCAGUGAAAGCAGGGAGCAGCUGGAGGAACAGUUAGAAAGAUGGAGGCAUGCACUGGAAAGCAGAGGAAUGAAGAUUAGCCGACGUAAGACAGAAUAUAUGUGCAUGAAUGAGAGGGGUGGUGGGGGAAGAGUGAAGCUACAGGGAGAAGAGAUGGCAAGGGUGGAGGACUUGAAAUACUUGGGGUCAACCGUCCAGAGCAAUGGUGAGUGUGGUCAGGAAGUGAAGAAACGGGUCCAAGCAGGUUGGAACGGGUGGAGGAAGGUGUCGGGUGUUUUAUGUGACACAAGCGUCUCUGCUAGGAUGAAGGGCAAAGUAUAGAAGACAGUGGUGAGGCCAGCCAUGAUGGACGCAUUCGAGACAGUGGCACUGAAGAGACAACAGGAAGCAGAGCAAAUGAAGAUGCUGAGGUUCGCUCUCGGAGUGACCGGAUUGGAUCAAAUUAGAAAUGAGCUCAUCGGAGGGACGGCCGAGGUUCGAUGUUUUGGAGACAAAGUUAGAGAGAGCGGAUUUGGAUGCUUUGGACACGUCCAGAGGAGAGAGAGAGAGAGAGAGAGAGAGAGUAUAUUGGUCGAAGGAUGAUGAGGAUGGAGCUGCCAGGCAAGAGAGCGAGAGGAGGACCAAAGAGAAGGUGGAUGGAUGUCGUGAGGGAAGAAGACAUGAUGGCAGUUGGUGUUGGAGAGGAGGAUGCAGGCGAUGGGCUUACGUGGAAAAGGAUGACGCGCUGUGGCGACCUCGAAAGGGACAAGCCCAAAGGAAAAGAAGAAGAAUUGAGUUACCUGCGCAGCCUGCAGGAGCGCCAGGCGGGAACGUGCUCGUCCACGAGCAGCGACGGCGCCAUCGCACGCGCUCUCGUCGACUUUGACUUUGAAACAGGCUCCACGGUGUCUUUGACCGCAGCCUCGCCAGCUU
This is an RNA transcript of Phyllopteryx taeniolatus (common seadragon), 4003 nucleotides long. It is a transcript of the gene named transmembrane protein 198-like, with no coding region annotated. The record is from RefSeq and is a predicted model, not a curated record. The transcript has 5 exons. Lineage: Eukaryota; Metazoa; Chordata; Actinopteri; Syngnathiformes; Syngnathidae.